This 201-nucleotide ribosomal RNA is filed under the name uncultured bacterium. Its description in RNAcentral is "partial 16S ribosomal RNA". It matches the Rfam family "Bacterial small subunit ribosomal RNA", at positions 524 to 718 of the family's 1533-position model. The record is from RNAcentral.
UACAGAGGGGGCAAGCGUUGUUCGGAAUUACUGGGCGUAAAGGGCGCGUAGCGGCCGCCUAAGUCAGACGUGAAACUCCCUCGGCUCAACCGGGGAACUGCUGUCUGAUACUGGGUGGCUUGGAAUUCGGGAGAGGGAUGGCGGAAUUCCAGGUGUAGCGGUGAAAUGACGUAGAUAAUCUGGAGGAACACCGGGUGGCGA